CCACCUGGCCCGCUAAUAAAUGGAUAUUUAUAACCAGCGACGAUGCGAAAUGGCACCGACGGAACGCUCAUCCAUCCGGGCGUGGUCGAGGAUGACUCCGGUAAGGUCGGCGUAAUCGCUAUAUGCAUCCUGUUUGCGUUGGCCUUCCUCGUCGGAUCGAUUGUGCUCUGUUUAUAUCGCUACUACAAUCACGCACGCUCGACCACGAUGAACUUCGACAAUCCGGUGUACCGAAAAACUACCGAGGACCAGUUCAGCCUGGAGAAGAACAUGCAGAGCCGCAUGUACCCGAGCACCGUUGGCGAAGAGAUAAAUACAUUUCACUACCGCACUUGAAGUGUUUGCCAAAGUAGCUUAGCUGAAAAUUAAAGUUCUGUCGUAGGGUGGAGGUGGUGGUGGUGUUUUGUAUUAUGUGUGUGCGUGUGCGUCUGUGUCUGACACACGGAGUAGGGAGAUAAUGCAAAGAUAAGCAACCGGCAGCCAUACAAAGGGCCAUCGGAAAAGCGUGUGAAAAGAGAGAGAGUGAAGGAAAAUGCAACACACCUUCAAGCUUCAGAAGCUCUGCAAAAAUCGUAUCGUCAGCGCAUCUCAUCAGCGUGGCGGUGCAUCCACCGGACGUGGUUUCGAACAUCCCAUCCAUCCACCCUCCAAAGAGCGCACUACGUACUUGUACUAAAAACCGCAGCAAACGUGUCCUUCAUCAACGCUUUUCACCGUCCACACACACACACACUCAAAAGCGCGCGCAAUGAAGCACAUUAGUUCUACACUCACACGCCACGAAGCGUCAUAACUGUGCACCACCCAUCAUCAAAUGGCCAUCGUCACCGUGGGCCACUGAGGAAAACCCCAACCGACCGACAGACCAACGCAACUUUCGAAUCAUAAAAUGUACAAACGAAAACAACGCGCGAGAAUGCGAGAUGGUUGUUUGAACGUUUACGACCCGCACACGCGGAAGGCACAGGAACCGCUCACCCGACCGGCCACCAACGAUUAUGUCUAAUAGAUACCAAAAAAAACAAAAGACUCGUUGGUCCACGUACCACACGCAAAGCAAGCCAACCAACACGCUCAAGAAGUGAUUUUACAACAACAUCAAAACCAAUGGCGCUACAUGGAUGGGUCACUACAGCAGAAUAGAUAUUACCGGUGCAGCAGCAGCAUAAUCAUUACAGCAAAAGCAGUCGAACGCACCAGCCGGAAAACAACGCCCGUCUGGGUGGAAACGAGCUGGCGACAUUUGUCAUUCGAAGUCAAAGUGUCGUGCAUGUGCAAUAUAUUAUUUAAUAGGUAGUAGACAAAGUUCAGUGGAUCAUAAUUCAAAUUUGAGCAGAUUCUUAACAGUUAAACUUAGAUACAGGCACAACAAACUACAGACACUCACAGAGAUAACUAUAGAAGGUCAGGGAAUGAACCACAGCCCGCCGGUAAAUACUCAUCGAGUAUAGCAAAAAAAGCUUCAUUUCAUUUUCUUCUUUCCGGAAGAUCCCCAGAGGAUUCAGGUGGGAUAACAUCAGCAAAAUUUAAACUUUCCCUGCAAACACAUUUAGGUAGUCUUCAGAUGAAUCCCCCCCACAUACAUACAGAUGUAUGCAAUACGCUUCAGUGAUGGUGGAAAAUGACUGCUAUUAGUAUGAUUGUACGCGGGAAAAUUUAAAAGGGAAAACAAGCCGUUACACUUUUCCUGUUUGUUUUUGUAUAAUACUCCAUCGUGUGUGUGUGUAUGUGUACAUGAUAACUAAUUGUUUGCUGGAACUGAAAACCAUCCAAAAGCUCAUCCUAAACACAGCGCCUAAAUUUAUGCAAACCUGUUCUUUUUUAAACGAUUGCAUACUACACAUCGGGGAAAAAUGCGAAUCGGUGAAAUGAUACGAAUGAAAGGGAUAGAUGUAAAUCAUUUUUUCGAAUUGCUUAAUGUCCUAAAUUUGUUUUGUAGCUUUAAGUAGUGGAAAGUGUCAACCCAGAUCCAGUUGUGCUACUGUGGGAUACACGGAUAGGGCAGAGUUUAUUAGGUAACCACUGUUAAGCUGCUUCGUUUAUUGUAAUUCAAAACAAAAUUACGGUUAACGGCAGGUUUUUUGGCUUCUUCACUGUUGGUUUAGGGCAAAUUAGAGAAGAAAAAAGACGUGUGACGAUUGUUUAAUGUUAUGUUUCCCAAAAUUACACACAUACGGAAAAAAUGGAUAGGAUUUAAGGGACUCCUAGUACUAUGGUAGACUGAAAAGUGGGUAAACAGUGCGUCAUGAUGCACAUGCAACAUUGGCCAUGCUGUGUCAUCGAAAACCAUCGGAAACGGAACAAUUUUUGCGAACCGUGAAUGGCAGGCGAUAUUCACGGCGGGAAAAUUAAAUAUCUAAUUGUAAAUACACCAAGCCCAAGUUUCGUUAUGUAGUUUAAUUUUGUUUGUUUUUUCUCUCACUCAUUUGAAUCCUUUUCCCCCUUUUUAAAUACUUUAGUUUGGAUGACAUCAUUUUCUCCGCAUUCAUAGUCCUUUGUUUUCCUUUUGUUUCGUUCUUUCCACAUUUUUCCUCACACUUCACACAACCAACCAAUGUAGCACAAUUUGCAGCGUAGAUAGUGAAAUUUUCCUUCCAUAAAAUUAAACCGAAUCACAUUGUAAAACUCCUAUCGGGGUGAUGAUGUUCCUGUUUUGGUGGUGUUUGCAAAUCGAGCCAAACCCCUGUUAGCGCCUCGUUGCGAUAGAAUUUAAACAAAACUGCGAGCAAACUGCGAGCAAACGCAGAAAAGAGUAGCAAUCUGGCCGUUUGUCCCCAGUUUGUACUUGUUCCAGCCAAUCUUUGUUGCGUCCUAAUCCCAUUCUAGCAAUAUGUAACGUUUAUUAGCUUUUGCACACAACAAGUGUAACAAAAUGUUUCCGCAACUACUACUUCUACUACCAACUAAGUUCUUCCUAUGCAGAUCGUUAGAAAAUAUUGAGACAAAGAGGAAAGUGCUAGUGGAUGUGGAAAAUUUGUAAGAAAUCAAUUAGCGAGCUAGGAGAGGAAUUAGGAUUAUUAGGCGUUCGGUUUUUUGCUCAGAUAUUUCCCAUUCUUAACCCAACGGCACCGAAGCGUGUGUCCGGGUUGCAUAGACAUUUGCUCAAACUGAAAACGUAGUGACAUUUUUGGAUGCGGUGGAAAGCAGAUUGCACAGAAGGAGGGUUCCAAUGUGGUGCAUCUUACACUAGCAUAAGCAUAGCAUAAAGUAAAGCAACAAAAAAUUGCCCCAAACAACAGAGCAAAGAACGUUCGCCAAACAACAAGAGAGAGACUCUGCUCUGGUACUAAAUAAGGCCAAAUACUUUUUACACUUACAGAAGCUAACACCGACAGCUUACACAAAUGGUGAUUUAAUUCGAAUUCCUAGCGCAACGGUUAGCCAAAACACAAAACCAAUAAUCCAUCCAACAAACCCCACAGUGGUGGCCUGGUAACACUACACUCUGUCUCCUAUUAUCGGCUUUUUGUGAUUACAUUGCAGUCCGUUCGGUGAGGUUCGUUAUGGAGGGCGGCAGAGCAAAACCCAGUAUGCGAGGUAGAGCGAAAAAGAAGUGUUAUAGAAAAUGAGAGAUUUUUAAUUACAUAGAAGCAGAAAAAAUGAACGAGAACCAUCGUUUAUAGUUAACUAAUAACUAAUUUAUGCUAAUUUUAGAUCCCAUUUUUCUAGACACCCUACCUACAAAAAAAAAAACUCAAGCGCAAGGGAACAAAAUGGAGUGAAGCGAAAAGAUGCAGCCAAAAUUUGGGAGUUACUAACUUUACUGAAAACGCUCAAACAUUAAGCAAACCGACAGCGUGAACCCUUGAGAACAUUUAAAAAUACCGAAGGCUACGCGAACUACUACUGCAAAACUACUGUACUGGUCAAUGCAUAAAUGUAGUAAAAGUUUUUUCCACCUUCAUUCACUCCAAAUCAACCAAGUCAACGGAAGCGAACAAAAACCAUACAAAUUCAAUAUAACUAAAUUUACACCCACUUCACAGAUUUAAUGUAAUACGUAAGAUAUAAAUAGAGGUGGUUUAAACAAACAACAAAACGAUUAAACCAUGAUAACAAAAAGCAAGGCUCAACAUUGGCAAUUAAAGUAAAACAAAAGACGAACGAAAAGUAAAAACAAAAAAAAAA
This is an RNA transcript of Anopheles stephensi (Asian malaria mosquito), 4128 nucleotides long. It is a transcript of the gene named low-density lipoprotein receptor-like, with no coding region annotated. NCBI's taxonomy places the organism in Eukaryota, Metazoa, Arthropoda, Insecta, Diptera, Culicidae. The transcript is spliced from 4 exons. The record is from RefSeq and is a predicted model, not a curated record.